Long non-coding RNA from Siniperca chuatsi (mandarin fish), 4250 nucleotides. RefSeq lists it as uncharacterized. Lineage: Eukaryota; Metazoa; Chordata; Actinopteri; Centrarchiformes; Sinipercidae. The transcript is spliced from 8 exons. The record is from RefSeq and is a predicted model, not a curated record.
ACCGGACAGACAACAGAGAAGGAUGUGUCUUUUGCUCCUGAAAGAAUAGAUUUUACAGAUGGGUUUUUCAUUCCCACGCCUACUUUACUCCCAUUCACUCCUGCUCAUCACGCAUGCUUCACGUUCAUUGGCUCCUGCUAACCACGCCUGCUUCACGCUCAUUGGUCCACGCAUAAGGCCACGCACUGAAAUCAAUUUUUCAUUCUUUGCAGUGACUCUAAACGGAGGGCUGAACCUUCAAGCAGAGGAGUCUGAGUCAUCAACUGAUACCUCAACACCCGGGACCUCAUCUGAUACUGACUCCUCAUCUGUGCUUUCAGAGGACGUGGUAUUACCCGACCUGUGGGGCGAUUUGGAUCAAUAUUUCCAUCAAGGGUUAUCGCCAUCAUCACCGCCACAGGAUGACGCAACAGGACAUGCCUCAGACGGUCAAAAACAUUAUACAUUCUCUAGAGUCUGUCCGGUUAACCGGAAGAGAUCCAGGGGAUGUGAUACCGCAUCAAAAUUUUGAAGAACAACGGCCAUUUCACCAGGAGUCUGUCUCAACCGCUAAUCAACCGCUGAUGGCCGCGGAGAGGUCUAGGCCUCAACCAGCGGACAGAGAUCCAGGAUUCUCAUCGGGUCGCAACAAGAGGAGAACCAGUUCUGAGAAUCCACACCUGAGAUCCCGCGGGGCUUCCAGCAAAGGUUUUCCAUCGGCACGCUCAAACAGACCCAGGUCCAGACCAUCCAGGUGUCCUCGGUGCUGCAGAGCUACACGCCAGCAAAUGGAGCUGAUGUCUAGAGCCUUUUGGCUCCUCUGUCAGAAGUUAGAUGUACAAAGUGACAAUUUGUAAACUGUUUCAGACUGUGAUUUUUUAUCAUCUGUAUAAAUUGCAAUGAUGUUGAUUUAGGUAGAUAGACGACGGGCCACUGAUGGGGGAGUAUUCCCGUCCUUAGUCUGUAUUGUUCUGGGCAGCCGGGUGUGAGAUCGAUGAUUAAAUACCCGUGAGGAUCUUUGGUAGCAUCUUCAAAACUUUCUAAUAAAAAGGCUUUUCAACCGUGAAACAUUUGUUGAGCCAAUAUAUUCAACUGUAAUCUGUCUCGAGGGUUUUUAAACAGUACCAGAUAAUUACUGUUUAAACUGAUGGUGCGGCUGUGCUUACCUUGAUGGAAAAGAUUUUAUUAUGCAUGCUUCACGCUCAUUGGCUCCUGCUAACCACGCCUGCUUCACGCUCAUUAAUCAACGCAUAACGCCACGCACUUCCGACGUGACGCACUUCCGGGGGGAGAGACAUCGUCUCGGAGAGACAUUAAUCAAAGGUCAAAGGUCACCAUCAAUCAUUUGUCAAUUAAAAAGUGACAGAAGAUAUUGUUUAUCGCUCUCUGUUGCCAAUAUUUUUUUUUCCUUUCCUCAGUUAAUGGCUAAAUCCGUUUCAGCUCAAAUAGCCUAUAAUCAGGAUUCAAAAUCAUAAAUCUCAAAUAAAAUAAAUAUUAUAAAAUAAUGAUAAAAUCCCAUAUUAUUUUCCUAAUUAGAGCCCACAUAACACAACAGUUCACUGGUAGUCAUGGUGAUGAGGACUGACGUGUUGAGCUGCUCCUAUAAAAGCUGAGGCCACAAUUCUAAUUCUAUUCUUUCUGCACCUGAGCCUGACAGGAGCUGACCUCUUGAAAAGUGAAACUCUUCAACUGUGGAACAAUUAGUGUUUUAAUUAAGAAAACAUCUUUGUUGAACUGCUAACAUCUGGAAGCGAGAAAGCAGCUUUUGCAGUGAGGGGGAAAAAAAUGGCCUCCUCUGGUUUACGCCGUGAGAAACACCUGGUGACUAUAGGCAUCCUCCAUUUGCUGGAUGACCGCUACGAUGCUCUGCCUCGGCCUGGACGAGUCCUUCAGCUGCUACUGACCAACCUGAGGAACCGUCCUCUGAGCAAAACAAGCGUCGACUCCAUGAGGGAGUCCAUCCUGAGCCUGUAUCACAACCUCAUCACAGGCUCCAAGGAGUUCCCUUUGAUUCCAUUCAAAGGAUCCUUCCGCUCAUGUCAGACGGCUACACCCUUCGUCCAUGUGGAGCAGGAGCAGAGGGAGAACACCACAGCAUCUUAUUUAACGGAUGCACCGGCAGGUGUGAUGGUGCCCACUGCAGGCUUGAGCUCUUCUCCUCCAACUAUACUGACUUCAGUUCUUCCUGAGAAGACGGAGCUGGGAGCCCUGAAGGCCGACCGCAGAAACUGUGUCCGACACGUGGGGUUAAAUGGCAGUACUGUCACCAGAGUCAUCUCCACUGUGUACCGCUCUGAAAGCACUGAGCUGACCAACCGCUGGAGAGUGAGCGACUACAGUGCAGACGGCCACAUUCUCAUGUCAGUCCUCUGUAAGUUUACCAAAGAGUCCAUAUAUUGUGCAAGGACUCAGAGGAAGAAGAGGAAGUGCCGUGAGCAAGAGAGCAGCAGCAGUCUGUGUCCACCAAAGAAAUGCCUGCGAGUGUGAUUUUUUAUCCUCUAGCUGGCAGUGUGGCAUGACAAAACCUUUAGUUUUUACUCCUCAGGGCUGGCCUUUGCGUCUGGCAGGGCUCCUGAGGCCCCUGCUAGCGUCUUGAAUGUAGACAUGCUGCACCAUAUGAAAGAUAUGGUUGGCUGAGGGAUAAAUAUUGUACAUUUGUAUAUAGUUUGUUCAUCAUGGCUGUAGCACACAGGUCAGUGUUUUUGGUGCGUCUUGCACUGGUGCAUCUUGCAUCUUUCUUUAUUUUUUAGAGCUGGCCUGUGUGUCUGACAUGGUGAAACUUCAGGGAGCCACGGGGGACUUACUUUCUGAGAUAUGAGCUCCCUUCAAAGAAGAUUCAAGGAAUUCAAAUGUAAUGUGUCCGUGCAGGAUGAAUUAUAAAGUCUAAAUUGCCUCUUGGCCAAUGUGUGUUGGGAUAGACUCCAGUCUCCCCUGCGGGCUUGAACAGCAGAGGCACUUUAGAUGGAUUUCAGAUCAAGCUUCAGAUUUCAGUCUGAGUGAGGAAAGAGACUCACAACAGAGAACAUUACAGCUGCAGGGACAGAGUCAGAGACUACUACUGAUCCACCAGUGACAGGCAGGACGAGCAGGAAGAGCAGAGUGAUAGAAGAAGAGGGAGAGGACAGAAACAGCUUGAUAGAAACCAGUGAUGAUAUUAACUCCACCUGCACUUCUCUCCCAGCUAACUGGAGCAGCCAGCUGUGGGCGGAGUGAUAAACACUGAGCUGUUUGUGAAGGAUGGAAAAGAGAAGCUGAAAGUUAAAUAUAUUGUGUUUGUGGUGUAGUCAGGCUUGUAAUGUACAGUUUCUGUAGACAGACUGUAUCAGAGAGUCGUAACGUGUUUAUAAUAUUAUGUGCCAAAAUAUAUUACAGACAUGUGAAGAUUUUAACUGCUGUCCUCCCUUAUCAGCUGUUUGUCUUUAAAAGACAGAAGAAACGAGAAGACGAGAGGAGAGGAGACACUGUGAACUCUCUCAUUUAAAAAGAGCGAGAGAAGAGGAGCUGAGAUGAGACAAGAGGAGACAGCAUGCACUGUGAAUCAUCUUACAUAAAAAGAUAAACAUACAUUUAUUAUCGGAAUUCUUAUUGUUUAUUAGUCUCUUCUUGCCUGUUAUUUGUCUUUUAGAGAGAGGAAACGAGGAAGAAACAAGUCCAGACGAGACAAGAGACGAGCAAAACUGUGAACCCUCUCAUUUAAAAAGAUAAAUAUAGAUUUUUUCUGUGUGAUUAUUUUUAUACUGAUCAAUAGUUCUUCUGUUUACCUCAGUUGAAGUUAUUAAGUGUAACUCCCCCUUGUCUAUUAUUUCUCUUUCAGAGAGAGGAGUCGAGACGAGAUAUAAAAAGAUGAACAUAUAUUUAUUCCAAGUUAUUUUUGCAGAAUUUCUAUUCUUAUCAAUAGUUCUUCUUUUUAUGUCAUUGCCUAAAUUAUUAACUGUUAUUCUCCCUUAUCUAUUAUUUGUCGUUUAGAGAGAGGAGAGGAAAUGCCAUUAGGAGGAAACAAGAAAAAUACCAGACAACACAAAAAGAGAGGAAAGGAGACAGUCUGCACUGUGAAGCCUCUCAUUUCAAAAUGAGGACGAGCUGCUCCAGAUGUCUCCUCAUCUGCAGCAGCAUCGCAGACAUCAUCCUGUCUGUCAUCACGUCGCAUGUCAUCCUCAAUGAGAUCUUUUAAACCCUUUUUGGUCCAUUUAAUUUCUUUUGUUCAACCCCUUUAAAGAUAACAUUGUUUUAUCUUUUUAUUAUUAUCAAGAAAUCUCAUGAAAAGACCCAAA